AUGGAGAGAGAAGUAGGAGGUGGCUUGGGCCUUGGGGCACGAGGUGCUGAUGAUUGCAGUGACUCAGAGUAUGAACUAGAUGCUGAAGAGGAGGCCCAUGUAGAGGAAGAGGAUUUGGGAGAUGAAGAGGAGGUCGCUCUUGCUAAGUCCAAAGCAAUGCAUUAUCAAAUAAGCCACCCAACAUUACUCAUGAGAAAUGGACUAGCCUUGUCAAUAAAUGGUCUGAUGAAAGAAACAAGGAAAACCGAGAAGCUGUCAGGCAACACCAAAAGACGGGAUCUAUGUCCUAUGUUUCCUAUUUCAGCAAACUUAAAAAAGACAAGUACAAUAAUCAGGACCCAAGUCCCAUUGAGUUUUUCAAAGACAGCCAUACAAACAGCAAGACUGAUAGCAUGUGCUGAGUCAGGACUUCUAGCUCAUAAUGCGAUGGAAAAGAAAAGGGAAGCACAAUCUGAAGGUGAGCAGCCAGUAUCCGAUACAGCGAUUGUGGCUGAAGUUCUAAAGGAAGAAAGCUCCCAUAGCACCGUCCUUUCUAGCAUGGGGUAUGCAUCAAGAUCCGGGAGGCAUCGGGAGGAGUUAGCCGCAAGACUUGAAGCACGAGAGAGAGCAUUUCAAGAGAUACAAAAGAAGCAGCAAGAAGAAUUGGAAGCUCUAAAGAAGAGCCAGCAAGAGAAGAAUGAAGCCUGGGCAAAGAAGCAAAAGGAGACGGACAAUCUGCUUGAUUUUUUGAGGGCUCAAGCAACUCUGCAGUCCCAGUCCCAACCAGAUGGUUCAUGA
Molecule: ribosomal RNA, 777 nt
Filed under: Triticum aestivum (bread wheat)
Lineage: Eukaryota; Viridiplantae; Streptophyta; Magnoliopsida; Poales; Poaceae
Description: partial small subunit ribosomal RNA
Source: RNAcentral